UACGGAGGGUGCAAGCGUUAUCCGGAUUCACUGGGUUUAAAGGGUGCGUAGGCGGGCUUGUAAGUCAGUGGUGAAAGCCCGGGGCUUAACUCCGGAACUGCCGUUGAUACUGCAAGUCUUGAGUACACUUGAGGUGGGCGGAAUACAUCAUGUAGUGGUGAAAUGCUUAGAUAUGUAGAGGAACGCCGAUAACGAAGGUAACUCACUGGGCUAUUACUGACGCUGAGGUACGAAAGCGUGGGGAGCAAACAGG
Molecule: ribosomal RNA, 253 nt
Filed under: uncultured bacterium
Lineage: Bacteria
Description: partial 16S ribosomal RNA
Rfam family: Bacterial small subunit ribosomal RNA
Source: RNAcentral